RNAcentral lists this ribosomal RNA (166 nucleotides) under uncultured bacterium. Its description in RNAcentral is "partial 16S rRNA". It matches the Rfam family "Bacterial small subunit ribosomal RNA", at positions 355 to 511 of the family's 1533-position model. The record is from RNAcentral.
UAGGGAAUCUUCGGCAAUGGGGGCAACCCUGACCGAGCAACGCCGCGUGAGUGAAGAAGGUUUUUCGGAUCGUAAAGCUCUGUUGUAAGAGAAGAACGUGUGUGAGGGUGGAAAGUUCACACAGUGACGGUAACUUACCAGAAAGGGACGGCUAACUACGUGCUAG